GAAACUUCCCUGAUCCAGAGGUUGGGAGUUUGGGUUUUGUGUCCUGGGAGCUGCGCAAAACUCACCCAGAUCUGCAUGGUGUGGUUGGCGUCGAUGAGCCAGGACACGUAGGGGGGACCCUGCAGGAUGAGGACGGCAUCGAGAUCCCCGGGUGCGCAGCUCAGUUCCACCUUCACCGUCACCGUCCGGGGCCUGCGGGGAGACAGACGCUGAUGGAACACUGAAGCGGACAGGCCAGGCGGGGAGCGAGGCCUGGCGUCAGAGACAGAGUCUCCCUCUGUUGUCCAGACUGGAGUGCAGUGAUGUGAUCUCGGCCCACUGCAACCUCUGCCUCCCAGGUUCAAGCAAUUCUCCUGCCUCAGCCUCCCGAGUAGCUGGAACUGCAGAUGAGGGAACCAAGACCCUGAGAGGUGAAGUCAUUUGCCUUUGAUGACACAAGAAGUCAGCCAGGGGCUGGGAUUCGUGCCCAGGCUCGUCAAGUGAAGCAGUGAGAGUGGAGAAGGAACAAAGCAAUCUGUAACUAGUUGUGAUCAAUUACUUGUAAACACAAUUGUUUUUUUCAUUUUAGUGUGCCAUUUAGUUUUUUUCAAUUUAUUAUUAUUUUCUGAGAUGGAGUCUUACUCUGUUGCCAGGCUGGAGUGCAAUGGCGCGAUCUUGGCUCACUGCAACCUCCACCUCCUGGGUUCAAGUGAUUCUCCUGCCUUAGCCUCCCAAGUAGCUGGGACUACAGGUGCAUGCCACCACGCCCAGCUAAUUUUUGUAUUUUUAGUAAAGAUGGGGUUUCGCCAUGUUGGCCAGGAUGGGCUCAAACUCCUGACCUCAGGUGAUCCACCUGCCUUGGCCUCCCAAAGUGCUAGGAUUAUAGGCGUGAGCCACCGCACCCGGCCGCUCUCACGUUUUUCUACACAUUUUUGUGUAGCACAUCCUUCCCUAGCACAUUUUUCUAACCUUAUUCCCAAGAAGAAAAAGAACACAGCAAUCUACAAGCCAGUGUCUAUUGAAAGAAUGACCUCAAAGACUUUCUGAACUAGUGGCAUGUGAACAGGCUCGUCAAGUGAAGCAGUGAGUGUGGAGAAGGAACAAAGCAAUCUGUAACUGGUUGUGAUCAAUUACUUGUAAACACAAAUUUUUUUUUUUCAUUUUAGUGUGCCAUUUAGUUUUUUUCUAUUUAUUAUUGUUUUUUGAGAUGGAGUCUUGCUCUGUUGCCAGGCUGGAGUGCAAUGGCACGAUCUCGGCUCACUGCCACCUCUGCCUCCUGGGUUCAAGCGAUUCUCCUGCCUCAGCCUCCCAAGUAGCUGGGACUACAGGUGUGCGCCACCAUGCCCGGCUAAUUUUUGUAUAUAUAUUUUUUUGAGAUGGAGUCUUGCUCUGUCGCCCAGGCUAAAGUACAGCGAUCUCCGCUCACCGCAACUUCCACCUCCUGGGUUCAAGCGAUUCUCCUGCCUCAGCCUCCCAAGCAGCUGGGACUACAGGUGUGCGCCACCAUGCCCAACUAAUUUUUGUAAUUUUUUCUUUUUUUGAGAUGGAGUCUUGCUCUGUCGCCCAGGCUAAAGUACAGCGAUCUCCGCUCACCACAACCUCCACCUCCUGGGUUCAAGCAAUUCUCCUGCCUCAGACUCCUGAGUAACUGAGAUUACAGGCACCUGCCACUGCACCUGGCUAGUUUUUGUAUUUUUAGUAGAGAUGGGGUUUCACCAUCUUGGCCAGGCUGGUCUCGAACUCCUGACCUCAUGAUCCAUGCGCCUCAGCCUCCCAAAGUGCUGGGAUUAUAAGCGUGUGCCACCACGCCCAGCCUAAUUUUUGUAUUUUUAGUGGAGAUGGGGUUUCACCUUUUUGGCCACAAUGGUCUUAAUCUCUUGACCUGUGAUCUGCUUGCCUCAGCCUCCCAAAGUGCUGGGAUUAUAGGUGUGAGGCACUGCGCCCAGUUAGGUUGGUUAUUUUUAAAUAAUUAUUUUAUGCUAAUUUAUGGGAUAAGAUAUGUUUCAAAUUUAUGUUUGUAUAAGUUCAUGUUUUGAUUAACAUUUUCUAGUGGGUUUAUAACUUUUGGUUUUCAAAAUAUAUUGUUUCAUCAGUUUUGAAUACUAUAUAUAUAUAUAUAUAUAUACAAAAUUUUUUUCUUUUAAGACAGGGUCUCCCUCUGUUGCCCAGGCUGGAGUACAGUGGUGUGAUUGCUCACUGCAACUUCCGCCCCUCAGGCUCAAGUGAUCCUCCCGCCUUAGCCUCCCAAGUAGCUGGGACUACAGGCAUACACCAGUAUGCCUGGCUAAUUUUUAUAUUUUUUGUAGAGAUAGGGUUUCACUAUGUUGCCCAGGCUGGUGUUGAACUCCUA
This is a long non-coding RNA of Gorilla gorilla gorilla (western lowland gorilla), 2329 nucleotides long. RefSeq lists it as uncharacterized. Lineage: Eukaryota; Metazoa; Chordata; Mammalia; Primates; Hominidae. The record is from RefSeq and is a predicted model, not a curated record. The transcript is spliced from 5 exons.